CUAUGCGCCUUGCCAGCCCGCUCAGGUGUGCCAGCAGCCGCGGUAAUACGUAGGUGGCGAGCGUUGUCCGGAUUUACUGGGCGUAAAGGGAGCGUAGGCGGACUUUUUAAGUGAGAUGUGAAAUACUCGGGCUCAACUUGAGUGCUGCAUUUCAAACUGGAAGUCUAGAGUGCAGGAGAGGAGAAUGGAAUUCCUAGUGUAGCGGUGAAAUGCGUAGAGAUUAGGAAGAACACCAGUGGCGAAGGCGAUUCUCUGGACUGUAACUGACGCUGAGGCUCGAAAGCGUGGGGAGCAAACAGG
Molecule: ribosomal RNA, 300 nt
Filed under: uncultured bacterium
Lineage: Bacteria
Description: bacterial SSU rRNA
Rfam family: Bacterial small subunit ribosomal RNA
Source: RNAcentral